Molecule: ribosomal RNA, 253 nt
Filed under: uncultured bacterium
Lineage: Bacteria
Description: partial 16S ribosomal RNA
Rfam family: Bacterial small subunit ribosomal RNA
Source: RNAcentral
UACGUAGGGUGCGAGCGUUGUCCGGAUUUAUUGGGCGUAAAGGGCUCGUAGGCGGCUUGUCGCGUCGGGAGUGAAAGCCCGCUGCUUAACUGCGGAACUGCAUUGGAAACUAUUUGACUAGAGGAAUGGAGGGGAGACUGGAAUACUUGGUGUAGCAGUGAAAUGCGUAGAUAUCAAGUGGAACACCAGUGGCGAAGGCGAGUCUCUGGACAUUUCCUGACGCUGAGGCACGAAAGCCAGGGGAGCAAACGGG